This 434-nucleotide ribosomal RNA is filed under the name Escherichia coli. Its description in RNAcentral is "partial 23S ribosomal RNA". It matches the Rfam family "Bacterial large subunit ribosomal RNA", at positions 2497 to 2925 of the family's 2925-position model. The record is from RNAcentral. Lineage: Bacteria; Pseudomonadati; Pseudomonadota; Gammaproteobacteria; Enterobacterales; Enterobacteriaceae.
AGUUCAUAUCGACGGCGGUGUUUGGCACCUCGAUGUCGGCUCAUCACAUCCUGGGGCUGAAGUAGGUCCCAAGGGUAUGGCUGUUCGCCAUUUAAAGUGGUACGCGAGCUGGGUUUAGAACGUCGUGAGACAGUUCGGUCCCUAUCUGCCGUGGGCGAUGGAGAACUGAGGGGGGCUGCUCCUAGUACGAGAGGACCGGAGUGGACGCAUCACUGGUGUUCGGGUUGUCAUGCCAAUGGCACUGCCCGGUAGCUAAAUGCGGAAGAGAUAAGUGCUGAAAGCAUCUAAGCACGAAACUUGCCCCGAGAUGAGUUCUCCCUGAGACUUAGAGUCUCCUGAAGGAACGUUGAAGACGACGACGUUGAUAGGCCGGGUGUGUAAGCGCAGCGAUGCGUUGAGCUAACCGGUACUAAUGAACCGUGAGGCUUAACCUU